Molecule: ribosomal RNA, 497 nt
Filed under: uncultured bacterium
Lineage: Bacteria
Description: partial 16S ribosomal RNA
Rfam family: Bacterial small subunit ribosomal RNA
Source: RNAcentral
GAUGAACGCUGGCGGCGUGCCUAAUACAUGCAAGUCGAGCGAACAGACGAGGAGCUUGCUCCUCUGACGUUAGCGGCGGACGGGUGAGUAACACGUGGAUAACCUACCUAUAAGACUGGGAUAACUUCGGGAAACCGGAGCUAAUCCCGGAUAAUAUAUUGAACCGCAUGGUUCAAUAGUGAAAGACGGUUUUGCUGUCACUUAUAGAUGGAUCCGCGCCGCAUUAGCUAGUUGGUAAGGUAACGGCUUACCAAGGCAACGAUGCGUAGCCGACCUGAGAGGGUGAUCGGCCGCACUGGAACUGAGACACGGUCCAGACUCCUACGGGAGGCAGCAGUAGGGAAUCUGCCGCAAUGGGCGAAAGCCUGACGGAGCAACGCCGCGUGAGUGAUGAAGGUCUUCGGAGCGUAAAACUCUGUUAUUAGGGAAGAACAAAUGUGUAAGUAACUAUGCACGUCUUGACGGUACCUAAUCAGAAAGCCACGGCUAACUACGUG